RNAcentral lists this long non-coding RNA (3059 nucleotides) under Equus caballus (horse). RNAcentral describes it as "lncRNA (ENSECAG00000058742.1)". Lineage: Eukaryota; Metazoa; Chordata; Mammalia; Perissodactyla; Equidae. The record is from RNAcentral.
UGAUUGUUGGAAUCACUGCAAUCACACUCCUCAACGUGUAAAGAGGGGAUGGGGCUGGAAACCCUGGCCUGAACACCGAGGUUCCCACAGAUGAAGACUAGGCCUUUGGGAUGACACAGCGCCAGUGUGGCCAUCAGGAGUGGGCCUUCAAGGGCUCCUCGACUCAUCACUCUCCGCUAUGGAAAAGCCAGGUCGUCCCAGGAGCCCCUUCAGCCACGCCACGCUCUCAGUGUUGCUCAGCCGACCCAGGAUUAAUAUUUGGGGAGAUGAAGAAACAUAUUUCCAAAUCCCAGAGGGGAUCACUUGGGCCAAGCUCUACUCCUUCAAGAUGUACGAGUUGCCGCACUGAUGUCUCCACCUAGAACUUGUAAAGAUACUCAUGAAUUUCCACAAGCUGCACACCCACUCCUCCCAGGCUAAGUGCUGGAUAAGGGGAUCUCCAGCCCAAGAGGCCUCUCCUGCAGGGCCUCUGGGGUCCUUGGUGACCAGUGCACUCAGUCUCUUAGGAAGCCAGCCCCAGCCAGCGAGGUGCAUGGAGUCCACAGAAAAGGGCCCGGCCUUCUCCAAGAUGUUUGUUGGUAAGAUACCUCUCAUGCCUGCUCCUCGACUUGUUGCUACCAUCCAGCCUCGGAGGCCACUUUGUUCUCUUCUUCCCAUUUUUUUCUCUAAUUGUGCUCUUGUCUCCUCUCCACACACACAUACGUCCACCAUACUGUCCUUCCUCCCAUCUGAGUCAUGUCUCAAUCUUCCUGCUUUGUUUCCCAGAUGCCCCUUUCAGGCACAGCUCACCCAGGGAAUGCUAACCCUGCUUUUGUGCAGCGUCCUGUGCAGCCCUGCCCAGGAGGAGUCCAAGCCCACAGGGUUCCCCCUCCUUAGGUCAGCUGUGGAAAGCCAGGCUCAAACAGUGGGUCCUACAUGUUCAAGGUCCCUGGAGAGGAUCGGGGGGGAGAAUUCCAAUAAUUGCAGAUGAAUCCAAAUUAUGGGGAAAGUGCCAGCUGUGAUUUAAGAUCAGAUAAAGGACAAUGCAAAGGGGGAGAGUAGGAGGAGGGUGACACUGAGAAUAUCUGCUUAUUUCCAUUUUUGUCAUCUUGAACUUUAGCUACAUGACUACGAUCUGCGGCCCCAUUAUUCUGGCUGGUUAGUGCAUCAGGCCAAGAAUAAAGCAGUUAAUUUCCAAGUAACCUUGACUCGCAAUGCGGAGAGCCUCUCAGCACGUCAGGGCCAGCCACGUUACGAGGUCACUGCUCCCUUUAACAGCCUCUAGCGGGAAACACAAAAGCCUGCAUACUGGCUGUGUUCCCUUGCCCUGGACUCCAUCCUGUUUGGGUGGGUCUCCCUUGCUUGGCAUAUGUGUGAAGGCAUCUGUCUGUUUCCCCUACUCUAGUUUGGUCUGAAACUGAUUUAUUCAAAAUCUGUUAUGUAUUUAGCAUGUGUCAUACCCCGAAUACUGAGUUUCAGUGCUUUUAAAGUAACUUGUACAAUUAAUUACACUUUAUAUACGGGUUAUUAGAGGUUGAGCUGGCAGGAAGCAUGUAUGUAUUGGGCAAGAAUAAUAUGCAGAUGGUAUGUAACAACUAAACCAAUAGCUAACAUUUGUGUAAUGCGCUGUAGUUUGCAGAGCACUUGCAUAUGCAUUAUUGCUUUUGGUCCUCACAAGAACCCCCUUGAGGUAGGUAGCAGAGUAAAAAAAAUUAUUACUCCCAUUUUACAAAUGAUAAAUAUGGGACUCAGAGAAGUUAUAAGUGGCACAGUCAGAACUCUAGAUUAGAAAUUUUACUUAAGAACUCGCAAGCUGAAGCUGAAAAAUAUGCAACUUUAGCUCCUGGGGUUCUUUAGUUACUUUGUUUGAAAUUCUCUGUUAGUCUGCACUGACUUUUAUUUAACAUCUUUAUUGAGGUGUAACUGACAUACAUAAAACUGCAUGGAUUUAAAGUGCACAACUUGAUAAAUUUUGACAUAUGUAUAUACCCACGAAAUCAGCACCAUAAUUAAGAUAAUGAACAUAUUCAUCACCCGCAAGUUUCCUUGGGCUUCUUUGUAACCUUCUUCUCUCUCCUUCCUACCUUCCCCAGGGAAACACUCGUCUGCUUUCUGUCACAAUACAUUAAUUUGCAUUUCUUAGAAUUUUAUAUAAAUGGAGUCAUAGAGUAUGUAGCCUUUUUUAUUUUGCUUCUUUCAUUCGGCAUAAGAUACAUUCAUGUAGCAUAUAUCAAUAAUUCAAUCCACGUUUUUAUUUUUGCUGAGUAGUAUUCCGCUCCAUGGAUAUACCACAGUAUGUUUAUCUAUUCACGUGUUGGUGAAUAUUUGGGAGAUUUUAGUUUUGAGCUAUUAGCAAUAAAGCUCCUAUGAGCAUUCAUAUACAGCUCUUUAUAAAGACAAAUGUCUUUAUUUCUCCUGGGUCAAUGUGUAGAAGUAGAAUGUUUUCAUCAAAUACUAUGUGUAUGUUUCACAUUUGAUGAAACUCCCAAACUGUUUUCCGAAGAGGUUGGACCACUUUACAUCCCCCCAGCAGCGCAGGAGUGUUCAAGUUCUUCUCCAUCCUGGCCAAAACGAGCUAGGAUCAGUUUUUUUAUUUCAGGGAACCUAAUUGGUGUGUAGUAACAUCUCAUUGUUGUUUUAAUUUGCAUUUCCUUAAUGACUGACAAUGUUGAGCAUCUUUUCCUGUGCUUACUUGCCAUCUGUAUAACUUCUUUGGCAAAAUAUCUGUUAACAUCUUUUGCCCAUUUUUAAUUAUGUUGGGUGUUUUCUUAUUGUUGAGUUUUAAGAGUUCUUUCUAAAUACUGGAUCCAAGUCAUUUAUCAGAUAUAUGCUUUGCAAUUACUUACAGUCUGUAGCUUAUCUUUUCAUUCACCUCAGGGCAUCUUUUUAAAAUUUUGAAUAAGUCCAGUUUACCAAUUUGUUCUUUUAUGGAUUGUUCUUUUGGUAUUGUAUCUAAGAAAUCUUUACCAAAACUGAAGUAACAAAGGUUUUCUCCUAUUAUUUCUUCUAGAAAUUUUAGUUUUAGGAUUUACAUUUAGGUCUGUGAUCCAUUUUGAGUUAAUUUUUGUGUAUGGCAAGAG